This 775-nucleotide ribosomal RNA is filed under the name uncultured Neocallimastigales. RNAcentral describes it as "partial large subunit ribosomal RNA". It matches the Rfam family "Eukaryotic large subunit ribosomal RNA", at positions 26 to 635 of the family's 3401-position model. Lineage: Eukaryota; Fungi; Neocallimastigomycota; Neocallimastigomycetes; Neocallimastigales. The record is from RNAcentral.
CGCAUCUGUGCAUGCAGCAUAUCAAUAAGCGGAGGAAAAGAAACUAACAAGGAUUCCCCUAGUAACGGCGAGUGAAGCGGGAAGAGCUCAAAUUUGAAAUCUUAAAGGGUUUCCCUUUACGAAUUGUAGUUUAAAGAAGUGUCUUCUGUUGAGGUUUUGGUAAAAGUUCUUUGGAAUAGGACAUCAUAGAGGGUGAGAAUCCCAGUAUUUGACCUUUACUUUCAACUUUGUGAUACACUUUCAAAGAGUCGGAUUGUUUGGGAAUGCAGUCCAAAAUGGGUGGUAAAUUUCAUCUAAAGCUAAAUAUUGGCGAGAGACCGAUAGCGAACAAGUACCGUGAGGGAAAGAUGAAAAGAACUUUGAAAAGAGAGUUAAACAGUACGUGAAAUUGUCAAAAGGGAAGCGUUUGACACCAGUGUUGUUUUUCUGAAAAUCAAUUAAAGAGCUGUUUAUGCUAAGCUGUUUAGACUUUAUCAGCUAUCUGUUUAGUUUUAGGCUUUUCUUUAAUGCACUUUUCAGUUAACAAGUCAACAUCAAUUUCUUUUGCUGUAAAAAGGCUUGAGGAAGGUGGCUUGAGAUUCGUCUUAAGUGUUUAUAGCCUCUUGCCUAUGCAGUCGGAGAGAUUGAGGUCUGCAGCGUAGAUCCUUCGGGGCUAAAUGCAUUUGUGCUAAGUUAUAGCAUUUUAUAGACAACUUGUUGACUAUGAUUUGUCUUGUAGCUUACUCGCUUAUGUUAUUUUACCUACGCUUAGGAUGUUGAACGCGCACAGAGUCUC